This is a long non-coding RNA of Rhincodon typus (whale shark), 3047 nucleotides long. RefSeq lists it as uncharacterized. The record is from RefSeq and is a predicted model, not a curated record. The transcript has 2 exons. Lineage: Eukaryota; Metazoa; Chordata; Chondrichthyes; Orectolobiformes; Rhincodontidae.
AGAGGCUUGGGGACCGCUUUGCAGAACACCUACGCUUGGUUCGAACUAAUCAACUGCAUCUCCCAGUCACGAACCAUUUCAACUCCCCCUCCUAUUCCGCAGACGACAUGUCCAUCCUGGGCCUCCUGCAGUGCCACAAUGAUGCUACCCGAAGGUUGCAGGAACAGCAACUCAUAUUCCGUUUGGGAACCCUGCAGCCCAAUGGUAUCAAUGUGGAUUUCACAAGCUUCAAAAUCUCCCCUCCCGCUACCGCAUCCCAAAACCAGCCCAGCUCAUCCCCGCCUCCCUAACCUGUCCUUCCCCCCACCUAUCCCCUCCUUCCAUCUCAAGCACCACCCCCCCCUCCUCCCUACUAACCUCAUCCCGCCCCCUUGACCUGUCCAUCCUCCCUGGACUGACCUAUCUCCUCCCUAACUCCCCACCUACACUCACCUUUACUGGCUCCAUCCCCGCCUCUUUGACCGAUCUGUCUCCUCUCCACCUAUCUUCUCCUCUAUGCAUCUUCUAUCCGCCUCCCCCUCUCUCCCUAUUUAUUUCAGAACCCGCUUCCCCUCCCCCAUUUCUGAAGCAGGGUCUAGGCCCGAAACGUCAGCCUUCCUGCUCCUCUGAUGCUGCUUGGCCUGCUGUGUUCAUCCAGCUCUACACCUUGUUAUCUCUGAUUCUCCAGCAUCUGCAGUUCCUACUAUCUCUGGAAGAGACUAAAGUCGUCUCUGCCUUCUUCUCAUAACAAUCUUCAAAGACUCGAUUUAAGGCUCCAGUCGAUGUUCAUCAGGAAACCUAGGCUUUAUGAGUUACAUUGUUGAGCCUCUGUUUGUGGAAUGGUCGCGUUUUACUGAAAACACUCCUUUGACCAUAACAAUGAUGAGUCAUCUGUGCAAAAACAAGGCAAGGUGGCGGGGACUGCUCCUUAAACAACACAACAGUGAGGACAACUCAGCCCAAGUGAAUGAAGACAAAAGCAGAAUUUCUGAAGAAGUUGAACAUCAAUAAUCUAAUCCAGUUAGAUGGUCCAGUCAAAUAAUGCCAUGUAUUCUUCACACACCUUUUUUGUUUUCAAAAUUUAUUUUUAAAUGACAUGAGAACAUCUUCAAGGGACUGAGAACAAAUUCUCCGGAGAAAAGAGGAAGGAAGAGACCAAUUUUAUCCAAUUAAGAGUGAUUGUCUGUUCCGAGAUCUGUCUUCAGUUUUGAAAAUGUGUGCUGCAUAUUACCUCAGCAACCCUCCAAUAACUUUUGAUUAAUAAAAGCAAAAUACUUGAUAUUUGAAUUACAGUAGAAGCAGGAUUCAAAAUCCACAUUAUCAAGCAUCAGGUUCAAUGGCAUUUACCUAAGGUUAUACUGCUGAGUAGAGGAUAAUGUGGACUGAAAAUGAUACUGAAUGGAAGCAGAAGAGUUACUGAAAGAAAGUCAGCUUUACUUCAUUGUGGUGCAGUUAGAAGACUCAUUCAGCAAGGUGGCUUUUGCUACAACUGACAACUGCUGAAGAACAUAAUAUUCAACUGCUCUGCAGCUGGGCUGCACCAUAAUAAACCAUUGCUAAAACCAGCUUCGACUGAGCUCAGAAUCCAUCAGGUUUUGAGUGUGCACUGAGAAUAAGACUUUCUUUUUGGAAUGACUACCAAACUUUUUCAUUUUUGUACCUUUUGCAUCAGAAAGCAUUUGUGGCAUUCAGAACUGGAUUGCAUACCUACUGAGUACACGUAUAGAAUUUUUCAUGUAUAAUUAUAAAUAAAAUUAAGAUGCAGAGAUGUAAAUAUGAUCAGUUAGAAGACACACACAAUUCCAUUUUUUGUUCUGUCUCUGUCUCAGUCCCUCUUUUUUUUCACAGACACUUAGUAGAGAUGAUAAACAACAAAAGAUCGGUACAAUUAGAAUUCUGUGUUCAAAAAAUAUUACACUGUGAAAAAUAAAUACCAUUGGUAUUUAAAGAAGCCAAAAAUUAGAAUCAUAGAACAAAUGUAAAUAGCUGUUUUAGUUGUAAUACACUGGUAUGUUCCUAAAAGCCUUAACAUUGCACCCAUUGCUAUACUUACACUGUUUUGAUAAUUAAGCACAAACAUCCUUUGUACUAAACUCCUAUUUGUUGUUAUUAAUUACAGCAAGCUGUUUCAUUUCUAUUGUUCAAGUUACAGUCCUUAACAAAAGCAUCAAAACUUCACAAACAUUCCAUGUUUUCAUUUAUUUUUAAUUGUUUACUGAGGCAACUAUAGAGAUUCUUUUUUAAUCCCACUAUUGCAUAACAAGGUCAUCAAAUUUAAAAACGUUUGACAAUUUUGUACAGGUUUGUCAUUUUACUGAACCCCCGAUUAUCAAUUUAAGGUCUAAGAAAAUAAAUGCGUUUUUUAAAAAAAAUGUACUUUUCUGCUUAAAAAUCAUAAAUGAACAGAUCAAACCUGAACAUCAUGUUGUCAUGCUCCAGAGGUUGAAAAUGUAUUUAUUAUUCUAUUGACAGCAAAAGAAUAUGUUACCCAAAACACUUUUUGAAAUGCUUUGUAAUACAGGCUGUUGUUUUAUUAAUGAAAGCAAAAAAAGGCUUGUUAUUGCAUCUUUGUUUGCCUUUCUGUUCAAAUGUGGGUAAAUGAAGUUGAGGUAUAGAUCAGCAAAGAUCUAAUUAAAUAAUGGAACAGGUUUGUGGAGUAAAUAGCCCAUUCCUGUUUAUAUAUAGUCAUGGAUUUAAUUCACACAGCAAGAAUGUACCUUACAAUAUGUGUAAGUAACUAAAAUGAUUACUAUUACAGAAUUAUGUACACCUAAACUUUAAUCAAUGUAUAAAAGGCAAUAUUUUGAUUUGGAGGUUAGGUUCUUACAUUCCUGUAACCUAUGUAAACAAGCCUUACAGCUGUAUGAUAGCACCAUUUUAAUGUAAACUUUGUCUAAUGCUGAAAAUUUGUGAUGAAUAUGUUGUGAAAUUUGCUGUGACUGCUAUGCAGUGUUGCCAAGAAUUACUAUUGUUAUUUCUAAAAACUAAAUUUUAAACAAGAGAGUGCUGUACUUUCAGUUCUCAAUAUUUUGGACUGCAACUAAUCAUAAAUAGAAGAUUUUUGUAAA